Molecule: long non-coding RNA, 484 nt
Organism: Alligator sinensis (Chinese alligator)
Lineage: Eukaryota; Metazoa; Chordata; Crocodylia; Alligatoridae
Exons: 2
Source: RefSeq, a predicted model, not a curated record
GGGGGUUCCAGCAAUGCACACUCCAGUGACACGGUGCAGACAGGCUCCGGGUGGGAGUAAAGCAGCCGAGAUGGGGGUUGAGGAGGGACCUGGAAAUUCAGUCAGUGGCCUGUGUGAUCUCAGCCACACAGGCACACCCGCUGAUAUCCAGACGGGAGACAGUCCCCGACUGCUCUGCAGCUGGGAAGCCAGAGGAAGGCAGGCCACGAUGUCCAUGAACACACAGAUUAUUUGCCCUGAUCUUAUUAUACCCAAGAGCAGGCUAACGGAGGAGGCACCACUUGGGCUGCACCAAAGCAGCGUCUCUACUGUUUGUCUUGACAAAACAUCCUGUUGUUCUGACCCCGCAGCCUCAUGCGGUGACAGAUCUGCGUUAGUGAUCUGCUGAACGGCGCCAUGCAAAUGCCUGUAGAAUAACAAGAGCCUGUAGCCUACGACGCGCCGAUGACUGGAGGGUGCAGUCCGGAGUCUCGAGCGUAUUGGU